Molecule: transfer RNA, 74 nt
Filed under: Bacteroidota bacterium
Lineage: Bacteria; Pseudomonadati; Bacteroidota
Description: Bacteroidetes bacterium (groundwater metagenome) tRNA-Pro
Rfam family: tRNA
About the family: Transfer RNA (tRNA) molecules are approximately 80 nucleotides in length. Their secondary structure includes four short double-helical elements and three loops (D, anti-codon, and T loops). Further hydrogen bonds mediate the characteristic L-shaped molecular structure. tRNAs have two regions of fundamental functional importance: the anti-codon, which is responsible for specific mRNA codon recognition, and the 3' end, to which the tRNAs corresponding amino acid is attached (by aminoacyl-tRNA synthetases). tRNAs cope with the degeneracy of the genetic code in two manners: having more than one tRNA (with a specific anti-codon) for a particular amino acid; and 'wobble' base-pairing, i.e. permitting non-standard base-pairing at the 3rd anti-codon position.
Source: RNAcentral
CGGGGUGUGGCGCAGUUGGCUAGCGUACUUGCAUGGGGUGCAAGGGGCCGGAAGUUCGAGUCUUCUCACCCCGA